This is a long non-coding RNA of Octopus sinensis (East Asian common octopus), 122 nucleotides long. RefSeq lists it as uncharacterized. The transcript has 3 exons. Lineage: Eukaryota; Metazoa; Mollusca; Cephalopoda; Octopoda; Octopodidae. The record is from RefSeq and is a predicted model, not a curated record.
AAAUAUUAAAAUCAUUUCCAUGUAUCUGCUACUGUAGCCUCAAGCCAACAAAAGCCUUGGGAGUGGAUUUGGUAGGUGGAAACUGAAAGAAGCUAGUUUUGUGUAUGUGUGUGUGUGUGUGU